This 116-nucleotide ribosomal RNA is filed under the name Pteropus alecto (black flying fox). Lineage: Eukaryota; Metazoa; Chordata; Mammalia; Chiroptera; Pteropodidae. The record is from RNAcentral.
GUCUAUGGCCAUGCUACCAUGAAUAAGCCCGAUCCCAUCUGAUCUCGGAAGCUAAGCAGGGUCGGGUCUGGUUAGUACUUGGAUGGGAGACCACCUAGGACCAGGUGCUGUAGGCA